GAUUUAAUUUUUGCAUUUUUUAUGCCCUUUCCAAUCGGAGAUUACUAAAGGGCGGGGCCACUUCCAACCACGGGCUGCACCCACACUCGUGAAGGGGGUCGGAUAGUGAAGACGGGGAUCGCCAGGCCGGGUCCAUAACUCCGAAAAAACUUUUUAGGAGGUGCCGGACCCGGGUCGUGGCACGCCAAUGUGUUAUCAUUCGGCAUCUGGCCGCCUAAAGCUGUCGCUUACCAUAUUGGAGGACUGUUCAGUUUCGGGUUCCACACCCAGUUUUUUCAGAGGGGUCCAACUCUGCCAUUGAAUUUCAUUCUUCAAACUUUUGAAUGAUCCUAAUAUGAGAGUUGGGCAGUGUAAUGACUAAUCGAUGUAUAUACUGGAUUGCCUGCUCAAUGUCAGAAAAACGAGGCCGUCCGCCAUGUUGCUGGACGGAUACUUUCGCCAAGUACAGCUCCGGCUGAAAAGUUUGUCACCUCACCGGAUACGUUCGGCUUCUUUAGAAUACUCGGCUUCAGCAUGCAUUAGUUUACUCGGCAACGUAGGCAUUAACGUGCGGGCAGAUGGAUCGUCCAUU
RNAcentral lists this long non-coding RNA (571 nucleotides) under Androctonus crassicauda. Lineage: Eukaryota; Metazoa; Arthropoda; Arachnida; Scorpiones; Buthidae. The record is from RNAcentral.